AACAAUCGUUAAAGAAAAAUCAUAAUCAUGUUGUUCCUCCCAUCCAAACUCUAACUCUAGUUCCACAGCCUCACCGUCAUAGAAGACGGUGGCUGCGUCGGCGAAAUCAUGGAGCUGCGCGAUCGCCUCGACUAGUUGCAGGCUGUUCCUGGCCACGACCCCAUGCUUAUUCGAGACUUGAGCUCAAGAUCUACGAACCCCGCCGGCAACAAAAGCUGGAGACUCCGAAUGUUGUCCUCUAUCCAUUUGAUCGUCUUUUCAUGAGAUUUGUAUAUUGAAGAAGCAAGUCGGAAUUUUGGAUGUACCGAAAUAUUCAAAGAGCCAUCAAAAUUUGCCUGGUCAGAUUGCUAUGAAGAGCAUUUUAUUGUAUCCUAUCACCGGAUUGUCUUAGUGACUAAUGGUGAGCCAUGCUGCUGCAGUGUGUGGCCCCUGAUAAGAUGGAUAAGAAGCCCUGCAAGAUAAUGUGGGAUGUGCCAUGGGAAGAAGCCCUUCUCAUUUAAUUAUCCAUCUGAAAAGCUUUAGGAGAGGUGAAAGCUUUGUUUGAGUGAUAAAGUGCAAUACAGAACAAGUAUCAGAGGAAGGACAGCCACAAGCAGUUAGAGUCUGCUCAGUUGUGCGUAAGAUGUGGAAAGCACACCAGACCUAUAUGAAACAGGUUCCCUCAGGCCAAAGACAUGUAUCUUCUUUGAAUGAAGUUGAUGCAACAGAAAA
This is a non-coding RNA of Sesamum indicum (sesame), 711 nucleotides long. The record is from RefSeq and is a predicted model, not a curated record. NCBI's taxonomy places the organism in Eukaryota, Viridiplantae, Streptophyta, Magnoliopsida, Lamiales, Pedaliaceae.